This 241-nucleotide ribosomal RNA is filed under the name uncultured Staphylococcus sp. Its description in RNAcentral is "partial 16S ribosomal RNA". It matches the Rfam family "Bacterial small subunit ribosomal RNA", at positions 99 to 334 of the family's 1533-position model. The record is from RNAcentral. Lineage: Bacteria; Bacillati; Bacillota; Bacilli; Caryophanales; Staphylococcaceae.
CGGACGGGUGAGUAACACGUGGAUAACCUACCUAUAAGACUGGGAUAACUUCGGGAAACCGGAGCUAAUACCGGAUAAUAUAUUGAACCGCAUGGUUCAAUAGUGAAAGACGGUUUUGCUGUCACUUAUAGAUGGAUCCGCGCCGCAUUAGCUAGUUGGUAAGGUAACGGCUUACCAAGGCAACGAUGCGUAGCCGACCUGAGAGGGUGAUCGGCCACACUGGAACUUAGACACGGUCCAG